Molecule: ribosomal RNA, 731 nt
Filed under: uncultured bacterium
Lineage: Bacteria
Description: bacterial SSU rRNA
Rfam family: Bacterial small subunit ribosomal RNA
Source: RNAcentral
AACAGGAUUAGAUACCCUGGUAGUCCACGCUGUAAACGAUGUCGACUUGGAGGUUGUGCCCUUGAGGCGUGGCUUCCGGAGCUAACGCGUUAAGUCGACCGCCUGGGGAGUACGGCCGCAAGGUUAAAACUCAAAUGAAUUGACGGGGGCCCGCACAAGCGGUGGAGCAUGUGGUUUAAUUCGAUGCAACGCGAAGAACCUUACCUACUCUUGACAUCCAGAGAAUUUGCUAGAGAUAGCUUAGUGCCUUCGGGAACUCUGAGACAGGUGCUGCAUGGCUGUCGUCAGCUCGUGUUGUGAAAUGUUGGGUUAAGUCCCGCAACGAGCGCAACCCUUAUCCUUUGUUGCCAGCGAGUAAUGUCGGGAACUCAAAGGAGACUGCCGGUGAUAAACCGGAGGAAGGUGGGGAUGACGUCAAGUCAUCAUGGCCCUUACGAGUAGGGCUACACACGUGCUACAAUGGCAUAUACAAAGAGAAGCGAACUCGCGAGAGCAAGCGGACCUCAUAAAGUAUGUCGUAGUCCGGAUUGGAGUCUGCAACUCGACUCCAUGAAGUCGGAAUCGCUAGUAAUCGUAGAUCAGAAUGCUACGGUGAAUACGUUUCCGGGCCUUGUACACACCGCCCGUCACACCAUGGGAGUGGGUUGCAAAAGAAGUAGGUAGCUUAACCUUCGGGAGGGCGCUUACCACUUUGUGAUUCAUGACUGGGGUGAAGUCGUAACAAGGUAACC